GACGAACGCUGGCGGCGUGCCUAAUACAUGCGAGUUGAGCGAUGAAGUUUGGUGCUUGCGCCCAUUUGAAGAGCAGCGAACGGGUGAGUAACGCGUGGGGAAUCUGCCUUUGAGCGGGGGACAACAUUUGGAAACGAAUGCUAAUACCGCAUAACAACUUUAAACAUAAGUUUUAAGUUUGAAAUAUGCAAUUGCAUCACUCAAAGAUGAUCCCGCGUUGUAUUAGCUAGUUGGUGAGGUAAAGGCUCACCAAGGCGAGGAUACAUAGCCGACCUGAGAGGGUGCGCGGCAUCGCUGGGCUGGAGACACGGCCAACACCACUACGGGAGGGAGCCGGCGGGGACUCUUGGGAAAGGAAGCAAGGCUGAACGAGGAACGCCGCGUGAGUGAAGAAGGCUGCCGGAUCGCAAAAGUCAGUUGGUAGAGAAGAUCGUUGGUGAGAGUGGAAAGCUAAUAAAGUGACGGUAACGACAGAGAAAGGGACGGCUAACUACGUG
RNAcentral lists this ribosomal RNA (497 nucleotides) under uncultured bacterium. RNAcentral's name for it is "partial 16S ribosomal RNA". It matches the Rfam family "Bacterial small subunit ribosomal RNA", at positions 28 to 507 of the family's 1533-position model. The record is from RNAcentral.